GACGAACCGUGCGAACGUUAUUCGGAAUCAUUGGGCUUAAAGGGCGCGUAGACGGAUGAUCGCGUCGAGUGCUGAAAUCCCCCGGCUCAACCGGGGAAUGGGCCUCGAAACGGGUCGUCUCAAGUGGAGGAGGGGGACCUGGAACUGCCGGUGGAGCGGUGAAAUGCGUUGAGAUCGGCAGGAACGCCAGCGGCGAAAGCGAGGUCCUGGACUCCCACUGACGUUGAGGCGCGAAAGCCAGGGGAGCGAACGGG
Molecule: ribosomal RNA, 254 nt
Filed under: uncultured bacterium
Lineage: Bacteria
Description: partial 16S ribosomal RNA
Rfam family: Bacterial small subunit ribosomal RNA
Source: RNAcentral